CGCAAGCCUGAUGCAGCCAUGCCGCGUGUAUGAAGAAGGCUUCGGGUUGUAAAGUACUUUCAGCAGUGAGGAAGGUGGAUAUGUUAAUAGCAUAUUCAUUUGACGUUAGCUGCAGAAGAAGCACCGGCUAACUCCGUGCCAGCAGCCGCGGUAAUACGGAGGGUGCGAGCGUUAAUCGGAAUUACUGGGCGUAAAGCGCAUGCAGGUGGUUUGUUAAGUCAGAUGUGAAAGCCCGGGGCUCAACCUCGGAAUUGCAUUUGAAACUGGCAAACUAGAGUACUGUAGAGGGGGUAGAAUUUCAGGUGUAGCGGUGAAAUGCGUAGAGAUCUGAAGGAAUACCGGUGGCGAAGGCGGCCCCCUGGACAGAUACUGACACUCAGAUGCGAAAGCGUGGGGAGCAAACAGGAUUAGAUACCCUGGUAG
RNAcentral lists this ribosomal RNA (423 nucleotides) under uncultured bacterium. RNAcentral describes it as "bacterial SSU rRNA". It matches the Rfam family "Bacterial small subunit ribosomal RNA", at positions 376 to 793 of the family's 1533-position model. The record is from RNAcentral.